GCCGAGGUCCUGUGUCUAGGGUCCUGUGUCGACGAGGCCUGAGGUCCUGGGUCUAGUGUCCUGUGUCGACGAGGCCUGAGGUCCUGGGUCUAGUGUCCUGUGUCGACGAGGCCUGAGGUCCUGGGUCUAGUGUCCUGUGUCGAUGAGGCCUGAGGUCCUGGAUCUAGUGUCCUGUGUUGAUGAGGCCUGAGGUCCUG
Molecule: long non-coding RNA, 197 nt
Organism: Orcinus orca (killer whale)
Lineage: Eukaryota; Metazoa; Chordata; Mammalia; Artiodactyla; Delphinidae
Exons: 3
Source: RefSeq, a predicted model, not a curated record